UAGGUUUUUCUAAUCAAAUUGCAAUCGCUAACAUUUCUAGCUGUCAAAAUUUUCAGUUAACAGUAUAAAGAUCCUCUUAAAUUCCUCGUUACCAAUCCGUCGAACCAAAUAUUAUUUCGGUUGCGAAAAUUCUUCUCAAAAAAUUUAAUAAUAAAUUCAUUAAAAGAUUUAUUUAAAAUUUUCGAGGGAUAAAAAAUAAAAGGUAAUGUGACGGACACGAAAAAAAAUCCAGUACUUAAAACGGAAAUGGCUUGAUUUUUUUACAGUUUCCUGUAAAAAAUCACGAAUUAGCUUAACAAAAUGGGACAAACUAUGGGCAGAAUGCCUGAAACGUGGGUAGGUCUCCUGGAAGAGAGAGAUCGUGUUUUACAUUGGAGUUCCGAAGUGUUGGCGAGAGUGCAAGAUAAUGUUAGGAACGAGGAUACGUUCUUGAUGGAUUAUGAUGAUGACAAAGUUGACGCCAAGAUCGACACGUGGAUUAAAACUAAUCAGACGCGGGUUAACGAGACAUUUAAUAAAUAUCCAAACGCGUCAAAUCAGCUAAAAAAUGUAGUUAACACCGGAAUAGAAAAGCUUACUGAAGAAAUACGAGCGAAAACGAGGAAAGAUUACAAGAAUGUAUACAAUGACAUUAAGAAGUUCAAUAAGAAAGUGGAUCAAUUAGGUUCAGACGAACGAAAAAUUCACGCCGAAAUACAAAAUCUGGAAUCGGAAUGUGUGGGCGACGUUAAAAAAUUCCAAAAGAAAUUUGGACCAUUGCGAUUAAAAGUUUUUGACAAUUUGAGAACCGGCGAGAAAAUGAUAUUCCAAGAUAAAAGACUAAAAAGCGAUUUUACGAAAAAAGUUUACGAUAUUGAUCACAAAAAUUCUGCCGAGUGCGUGAAACGGAUCGAUAAAUUGCUUAAAGAAUUCGAAAAAAAUGUAGCAAAAGAAGUAACAUAAAUAAAAUAGCGCGGAUGAAAAUGUCUCAUUGUCAACUUAGUAUACAUAAUCGAAAGAUUGACGUAUUGUUGAAUGCUUUUGGUUGAUUUCCUGUUCUGUAUAUAAUCGGUUGCUCAUGUCUCGAAUGAGAAAGAGGAUAAGGAAUUCCUGGAUAAUCUUCCCGUCGUAAUUGGUAGUGUGAAUGAUGGAAAAAGAGAAGAAAAGGAAAGAAUCGAAAGACCAUCUUUGCCUGAUGAACGUCUAGAACGAAAGAAAAGAAUCUGGGUUGUACAGAGUGUUCCGAUAUUAUCGGAUGCCUUUUUCACUAAGCUUUAAUUCACUUGGAGUCAAUUUGUCCUCAGC
This is an RNA transcript of Trachymyrmex septentrionalis, 1284 nucleotides long. RefSeq lists it as uncharacterized. Lineage: Eukaryota; Metazoa; Arthropoda; Insecta; Hymenoptera; Formicidae. The record is from RefSeq and is a predicted model, not a curated record. The transcript is spliced from 5 exons.